GACGAACGCUGGCGGCGUGCUUAACACAUGCAAGUCGAACGAAGUGGCGAACGGGUGAGUAACGCGUAAUCAACCUGCCCUUCAGAGGGGGACAACAGUUGAAAACGACGACUAAUACCGCAUACUGAUGGAGGGGAUUGCGUCUGAUUAGGUAGUUGGAGGGGUAACGGCCUACCAAGGUGAUGAUCAGUAGCCGAUCUGAGAGGAGGAACGGGCACAGUGGGACGGAGACACGGGCCAUACUACUACGGGAGGCAGCAGUGGGGAAUCUUCCGCAAUGGACGAAAGUCUGACGGAGCAACGCCGCGUGAGUGAUGACGGCCUUCGGGUUGUAAAGCUCUGUUAAUCGGGACGCGGUACCGGAAUAGAAUGUCACGGCUAACUUCGUGCCAGCAGCCGCGGUAAUUC
RNAcentral lists this ribosomal RNA (408 nucleotides) under uncultured bacterium. RNAcentral's name for it is "partial 16S ribosomal RNA". It matches the Rfam family "Bacterial small subunit ribosomal RNA", at positions 28 to 526 of the family's 1533-position model. The record is from RNAcentral.